UACGUAGGGUGCGAGCGUUGUCCGGAAUUACUGGGCGUAAAGAGCUCGUAGGUGGUUUGUCGCGUUGUUCGUGAAAUCUCACGGCUUAACUGUGAGCGUGCGGGCGAUACGGGCAGACUGGAGUACUGCAGGGGAGACUGGAAUUCCUGGUGUAGCGGUGGAAUGCGCAGAUAUCAGGAGGAACACCGGUGGCGAAGGCGGGUCUCUGGGCAGUAACUGACGCUGAGGAGCGAAAGCGUGGGGAGCAAACCGG
RNAcentral lists this ribosomal RNA (253 nucleotides) under uncultured bacterium. RNAcentral describes it as "partial 16S ribosomal RNA". It matches the Rfam family "Bacterial small subunit ribosomal RNA", at positions 524 to 776 of the family's 1533-position model. The record is from RNAcentral.